RNAcentral lists this long non-coding RNA (1423 nucleotides) under Apteryx rowi (Okarito brown kiwi). Its description in RNAcentral is "lncRNA (ENSARWG00000006384.1)". The record is from RNAcentral. Lineage: Eukaryota; Metazoa; Chordata; Aves; Apterygiformes; Apterygidae.
CGCUUCAGCCCAGCCGUUCUCCCUGCAAAGAGUUAACCACAGCGCGUUUUGGGGAGCCAUUUUCUCUCCCUUACUCUUUCAGCACCUUUUGCAUGUGCAAAUGCAUCUCGGCCCUGAGAGCCCAGAAAUAAUAAGGGUUUUUUUAGCAGCUUCUGAGAUUCCAGGGCAUCUUUGUUAUCCUGCCUCUGCCGAAGCCUCGGGAAAGGCAGAGCCUGGCCGGUCCCCGGCGGCGCAGCGGAGGCUGCAGACAAAGGGCGGCCGCGUCCAGACGCCGCUUCUGCAGCGAGUGCCUYGGUCCAGACCCUGGGCUGCGCGCCGGCCGGAGCAGAGGGCCCACGCUCUCCUCCCGGGAAUGCCCAAAUCCUGCUUCUUAAAGAUCACCCUCUCCCGGCAAAGGAUUACCCUCCUCUUCGGGAGCUCAGUGUGCRUCCAGGCCCACGGUGGGCACGGCUCCCUCCUGGCACUGCCGGGAGAAACAGAAGGCAGAGGCUCUGCAUUGCCCUUCACUCGCGUUAUAGCAGCCCGGGCUGCUGUGAGUGUCCAGGCAGUGCCAGGACAGGGCUUUUCAUCCUUCUGGGCUGAGAAGAUGCAUCUGCCUCCUGUCCAGCCGGGGCCUGUCCCCUUCCCCAUGACAGCGCGGAGCAUGGCAGAGGAAAUCUGCGUGGAGCCGGCGGGGUGCCCUGCUGGGGGCACCGAGGGCUGGAGGCUCCCGGCGCCUCCUCCGGCACGGAUCUCCCCUCUCUGCCCUGCAGGGAGCUGGCCCCUGCCUCGCCCCGGCACGAAGCUCUGCCUGGCCAGCGCCCGGCCCAUCCUGUAAGCUCAGCUCUCUGUCCCAGCAGUGGGGGGGUUGAUCCGAGGAUGCAGCCUUGGAAGCUUGAUCCCUUUAAGCCGCAGCCGGUCCAGGCCUUGCAGGGAUGGGGGCCCGGGCUGCCUCGCUGGAGCCGUGCCAGGGGAGGACCUCGGGCAGCUGAGUUGGUGCAGCCCCACGUGUGCCCUGCGGGUGCUGGCUGGCACAGCAGCUCUCUUCUCCCUGCCUGCCGGCCCCACGGCUCCCCCGGCAAGGCCGUGGCAGGCUCUGCAGGAGGGGACAGCCCCAGGGACACUCAGGACAGGGGAAGCUUUGUCCAAGCCCUUCUGGGCUCCGGAGUGGCACCAGGCAUCUGCCCCGGCCUCUGCUGGGCUCUGCCCGKGGAUGGGGAGAGGCUGCCAGCGGAAAGUCCUGCAUGUUGUUCUSUCUUGCUGCGUUGGUUGUUUUCUUUUGCAGCCGCUAAUGACUGACCUGAGGUCUGUUCACACACAGUCCCCUGCGCAGCCUCCACGGCGGAGCAGCGAGACAAGACGGGGGGCAUUUUACAGCACUCGCCUAGCCGCUGACAUCAGGUAGGACCCCGGGGCGGGGGGUGACGCAGAGCAGCCCCAGCGC